Molecule: ribosomal RNA, 504 nt
Filed under: uncultured bacterium
Lineage: Bacteria
Description: partial 16S ribosomal RNA
Rfam family: Bacterial small subunit ribosomal RNA
Source: RNAcentral
AUUGAACGCUGGCGGCAGGCCUAACACAUGCAAGUCGAACGGUAGCACAGAGAGCUUGCUCUCGGGUGACGAGUGGCGGACGGGUGAGUAAUGUCUGGGAAACUGCCCGAUGGAGGGGGCUAACUACUGGAAACGGUAGCUAAUACCGCAUAACGUCGCAAGACCAAAGUGGGGGUCCUUCGGGCCUCACACAAUCGGAUGUGCCCAGAUGGGAUUAGCUAGUAGGUGGGGUAAUGGCUCACCUAGGCGACGAUCCCUAGCUGGUCUGAGAGGAUGACCAGCCACACUGGAACUGAGACACGGUCCAGACUCCUACGGGAGGCAGCAGUGGGGAAUAUUGCACAAUGGGCGCAAGCCUGAUGCAGCCAUGCCGCGUGUAUGAAGAAGGCCUUCGGGUUGUAAAGUACUUUCAGCGGGGAGGAAGGCGGUGAAGUUAAUAGCUUCACCGAUUGACGUUACCCGCAGAAGAAGCACCGACUAACUCCGUGCCAGCCGCCGCCGUAA